CUAACAGGUGAAGGCUGAGGACGUCUGGCGGAACUGCCGGUGACAAACCGGAGGAAGUGGGGAUGACGUCAAGUCGUCAUGGCCCUUAUGUCCAGGGCUACACACGUGCUACAAUGGGCGAGACAGAGCGACGCGAAGCCGCGAGGUGGAGCAAAUCGCAGAAAAUCGCCCUCAGUUCGGAUUGGAGUCUGAAACCCGACUCCAUGAAGGUGGAAUCGCUAGUAAUCGCGCAUCAGCAUGGCGCGGUGAAUACGUUCCCGGGCCUU
Molecule: ribosomal RNA, 266 nt
Filed under: uncultured Spirochaetaceae bacterium
Lineage: Bacteria; Pseudomonadati; Spirochaetota; Spirochaetia; Spirochaetales; Spirochaetaceae
Description: partial 16S ribosomal RNA
Rfam family: Bacterial small subunit ribosomal RNA
Source: RNAcentral